This 216-nucleotide ribosomal RNA is filed under the name uncultured bacterium. RNAcentral describes it as "partial 16S ribosomal RNA". It matches the Rfam family "Bacterial small subunit ribosomal RNA", at positions 118 to 331 of the family's 1533-position model. The record is from RNAcentral.
UGAGGAACAUGUCUUUCGGCGGGGAAUAGCCGGCCUAACGGCCGGGUAAUACCGCGUACGACGAUUGGGGCGCAUGCCUUGAUCGUGAAAGCAGCAAUGCACCGAUAGAGUGCCUCGCGGCCUAUCAGCUAGUUGGUGAGGUAAUGGCUCACCAAGGCGACGACGGGUAGCUGGUCUGAGAGGAUGAUCAGCCACAGUUGGGACUGAGACACGGCA